AUGAACGCUGGCGGCGUGCCUAAUACAUGCAAGUCGAGCGAACAGACGAGGAGCUUGCUCCUCUGACGUUAGCGGCGGACGGGUGAGUAACACGUGGAUAACCUACCUAUAAGACUGGGAUAACUUCGGGAAACCGGAGCUAAUACCGGAUAAUAUAUUGAACCGCAUGGUUCAAUAGUGAAAGACGGUUUUGCUGUCACUUAUAGAUGGAUCCGCGCCGCAUUAGCUAGUUGGUAAGGUAACGGCUUACCAAGGCAACGAUGCGUAGCCGACCUGAGAGGGUGAUCGGCCACACUGGAACUGAGACACGGUCCAGACUCCUACGGGAGGCAGCAGUAGGGAAUCUUCCGCAAUGGGCGAAAGCCUGACGGAGCAACGCCGCGUGAGUGAUGAAGGUCUUCGGAUCGUAAAACUCUGUUAUUAGGGAAGAACAAAUGUGUAAGUAACUAUGCACGUCUUGACGGUACCUAAUCAGAAAGCCACGGCUACUACGUG
Molecule: ribosomal RNA, 495 nt
Filed under: uncultured bacterium
Lineage: Bacteria
Description: partial 16S ribosomal RNA
Rfam family: Bacterial small subunit ribosomal RNA
Source: RNAcentral